CGACGCAUAGCGGGGGGUUUUUAAAGCCGAGAAAUGCACCGUAUUUGAUAGCUUGCUGCGAGACCUCACACCGUGCACAUGUAACCAACUUUAAGGUAUAAAGGUGAAUUACAGCACAAUAACUACUUGGGCUCGUAAUGAGGCCCUGGCCAGUAUCAGAAGAUGCCGAAUUCGUAUGGAGCCAAAGUAUUGAGCAGCAAUAAUGACCUGGACACGAUGUUAACUUUUGAGUAGCCACUCUUGUAUUGUUACAAGGUACAAAAAAUUAGUGUCCAAUUUGUACAGAAAAAGUAUAAAAUAAAAUAAA
This is a long non-coding RNA of Oreochromis niloticus (Nile tilapia), 307 nucleotides long. RefSeq lists it as uncharacterized. The record is from RefSeq and is a predicted model, not a curated record. The transcript has 2 exons. NCBI's taxonomy places the organism in Eukaryota, Metazoa, Chordata, Actinopteri, Cichliformes, Cichlidae.